This 505-nucleotide ribosomal RNA is filed under the name uncultured bacterium. RNAcentral describes it as "bacterial SSU rRNA". It matches the Rfam family "Bacterial small subunit ribosomal RNA", at positions 20 to 507 of the family's 1533-position model. The record is from RNAcentral.
UGGCUCAGAUUGAACGCUGGCGGCAGGCCUAACACAUGCAAGUCGAACGGCAGGCGGGGGGGUAGCUUGCUACCCCGCCGGCGAGUGGCGGACGGGUGAGUAAUGCCGUGGGGGAGCUGCCCAAUCGAGGGGGGAUACCAGUUGGAAACGACUGCUAAUACCGCAUACGCCUGGAGGGGAAAGGUGGGGAUCUUCGGACCUACCGCGAUUGGAUGCACCCAGGGUGGGAUUAGCUAGUUGGUGAGGUAACGGCUCACCAAGGCGACGAUCUCUAGCUGGUCUGAGAGGAUGACCAGCCGCACUGGAACUGAGACACGGUCCAGACUCCUACGGGAGGCAGCAGGUGGGGAAUUAUUGCACAAUGGGGGAAACCCUGAUGCAGCCAUGCCGCGUGUGUGAAGAAGGCCUUCGGGUUGUAAAGCACUUUCAGCGAGGAGGAAAGGAGGAUAGCUAAUACCUAUUCUCUGUGACGUUACUCGCAGAAGAAGCACCGGCUAACUCCGUG